Long non-coding RNA from Mobula hypostoma (lesser devil ray), 700 nucleotides. RefSeq lists it as uncharacterized. NCBI's taxonomy places the organism in Eukaryota, Metazoa, Chordata, Chondrichthyes, Myliobatiformes, Myliobatidae. The record is from RefSeq and is a predicted model, not a curated record. The transcript is spliced from 3 exons.
UCUGCCAGUUUAGGCUCUGUUCUUCUCAGACUGUUCAAGUCUCACUCUGGCUGCUGUCCUCAUUUCCCUCAGCACCUUUGUGCUUCUCUGCAGCUGAUCCUCUGACGUCCCUCAUAGUAUCACUGGAGCACUAUCAGACUAUCUGCAGGAAGAGCCUGAUGGUUGAGGGGUAGUGACUGUUCUUGAACCUGAUGGUGUGAGUCCUGAGGCACCUGUACCUUCUACCUGAUGGCAGCAGUGAGAAAAGAGCAUGGCUUGGUGAGCUAUCCCACUCCCUCUGCCUACCUGCCUGUCCUUUUGACAACUGAGUCCAGACGUCGAGGCGCUGAUUUCAAAGUUCUGUGAUUGGUGAAUCCUUGGGUCAAUACCGGAGGUUGAAGCUGGAAAGUUAAAGUCUUUGGGUUGCCGUGUUCAGAAAUUGCAGGCCUGGCGUCUGCGAGUUCAAGCCACGGACUGGAGGUUGGGGGCCCGAUGACUAUGAGUCUGAGGUCAAAGACUCUAGAGAGACUGUGCGAUGUUGGAAGGGUGUGUGUGUGUGUGUGUGUGUGUGUGUGUGUGUAUGUGUGUGUAUCUGUGUGCAUGUGCGAGAGAGACAGACAGGAUGGGAAAUGGGUUUGUUUUGCUAUUGUUGUUGUUGCUUGUGGGCAUGCUAUGUUUUCAGCGGAAUUUGUGAUGACACUUUCAGGCUGCCUCAGGGCAU